Daktulosphaira vitifoliae (grape phylloxera) is the source of this 1883-nucleotide long non-coding RNA. RefSeq lists it as uncharacterized. The record is from RefSeq and is a predicted model, not a curated record. Lineage: Eukaryota; Metazoa; Arthropoda; Insecta; Hemiptera; Phylloxeridae. The transcript is spliced from 3 exons.
CAAAAAGCUCAAGAAAAUCAUUGACAGCAUAAAAACGUUCAACUCAUUUAGUCGCACAUAAUUGUUUUAAUGAUUUUUUAGUUAUACAUUUUUGACUUUCUUCGAUUUGACUUUUCAACACAUCUUUUCGCUUUGGAAGAUGAAUAAGAAAUAGCAAGGUUUAAAACAUGAACAGCACAAUGAACAAACGUCGCAAGCGGAUAACUUUGGUGAAUAAGAGAUUGAGCUCCGUUAAAUUGACCAGACAUAGAAGCACAUCCAUCGUAACACUGUCCUCUAAGGUAUUUUGUUUCUACACCAAAUGAAUGUAAACUUUGAAUAAUAAUAUAUAAACCUUUUCCAGUAGUAUCUGUUGUAGGCACAAACUGAAGAAUUCUUCCUUGAUAAUCAUAUUUUCAACAUCUAAAUAUCGAACACACAAAGUUACUUGUUCGCUUCCACCAAUGUCGGCCGUUUCAUCAGCAAGUAUUUUGAAACAUCUUUGGGCAUUUAUGUUUGUUACGAUUUUAUUUAAAAUAAUUUUAUUGCAGGAUUCAAUUAUUUCAUUUUGAAGUGUUUCACUUGUAUAUUUUAUUGUUUCUUCAGCUUCCAAAAAUGAUUUUAAACGGUCAUCUCCUUGGGCUCUGUAUCUUAAUAUUUCUCUAAAAUUUCCUUGAUUUUCUUGGAUAAUUUGUCAUUUUCUUGAUAUAUAUUGAAGUUACAAAGAUAGCCGUUAUUGUCAAAAAAAAAAAAAUAAUAAUAAUAAUAACAUUAAAAAUGCAAAUAAUAAUUAAACCUAUAAGGUAGUUAAACCCUAAAGUUAUUUUCGAUUUGUUAAAGUCGUUAAAAUUAAUUCAAAUCUCCUGUUAUUUUCUUUUAUCAGAAUUAUUAUGUCAUUAAUUCAAUUAUUAAUUAAAUUGUUAAACUAUAUUAUAUAUUCAACUUAAUAAAUUUUUAUGUUGAUUAUAAUCGCAUGGCAUGAUGUUUUUUGUUAAUAACUAAAUGGAAAUAGCAAUUUCACAUGGGCAAAAUUUUUAAUAGUUGCAAGAGAAUAAAUCCAAACGUUGAUAUUUUAUUUCAUACAGAUUAAAUUUUAUAUGCAUAAAUAUUCUGUUAACCGAUAUCAAAUUUAUUCCACUUGAACUUUCAUAAAAAAAUCUCUAUCAUUUGUAAACUAAUGUAAUAAAUAAACAAACAAAUACAAAAGGUUUUUCUUCAAAAUAUCUUUAAAAUAUAUAUAUAUAUAUAUAUAUUUUUUUUUUUUUAAUUCUCUGUAUUAUUCUUAAAAUAUUGUAUUCUUUGACCAAUAAUACAAUUAAAAUAAAUAAGUAUUGUUUAUACUAAAUUUAUUUAUAAUUGGCUUAUACAUUUUUUUAAUGAAUUUUUACAAUUAAGUUUCCUUGACAAUUAGAUGUAAAUGUUGAUUUUAUCGACAUUUCAGUUCACUUCGUUUUUUCCCGUGAAAAAUAAACUAUCGUCUUGUGUAAUUAUUAAGAUUUAUUUAAUUAGUUAUUGAUAUGGCAAGUGAAAAAAAUAUUUUUGGUCAAACAAAUGAAUCAAACUUACAUAAGGUCAUACGCAGAGUUGAAGAAAUAUGGAAUCGUCGUUUCAUGCAUUCCAAUUGUGUUUUAAAUAAUACAAAUAAAGGACAAAUAUCAAAAAAGUCAACUAAAGAUGGAAGAAUUAUCUAAUAUGAUGCAGCAAAGAGAAUUCGGAACACUUUUUCAGAAUGAAAAAUCUGAAAAAUAUAAAAAUGAAAUUUUAAAUUCAACAGAAAAAAAAAAUAUAGCAAUUUCAAAAGACAAUCCGCUAUUAAUAUCAGCUGAUUUGUUAGAAAAGGUAUAUUUUAUUAUGCUUUUUUCAAUAAAAAGAUUUUAGGGUAUAUCCUAAACCAUAUUUUGGAC